UUUCUGGGAUGAAUCAAACUAGCUCACAAUGGCUGACAGCAAGAACACAUGAACACCUGAGAAAC
Small nucleolar RNA from Oryctolagus cuniculus (rabbit), 65 nucleotides. The record is from Ensembl. NCBI's taxonomy places the organism in Eukaryota, Metazoa, Chordata, Mammalia, Lagomorpha, Leporidae.